GCACCCGUAGCUCAGCUGGAUAGAGGAUCAGUUUGCGGUACUGAGGGUCGCAGGUUCGACUCCUGCCGGGUGCGCCA
RNAcentral lists this transfer RNA (77 nucleotides) under Deltaproteobacteria bacterium. RNAcentral's name for it is "tRNA-Arg". It matches the Rfam family "tRNA". From Rfam's summary of the family: Transfer RNA (tRNA) molecules are approximately 80 nucleotides in length. The record is from RNAcentral. Lineage: Bacteria; Pseudomonadati; Myxococcota; Myxococcia.